AAACCUGAGAAACCCGAAAGAUCGAAUGGGGAGAUUCAUCGUCAGCGAUUCCGGUACGUGUGCGGCUCGCGAUGUCUGAGACUUCGGUCUCGAGGCACGCGUCCGCAUGUUUUUUAUUGCUGGAAUCGUCGGCGUGCACUUCUCCCCUAGUAGGACGUCGCGACCCGUUGGGUGUCGGUCUACGGCACGGUAGGGUAGCCUGUCACGUGUGCGCUUCACGGCGUUACGCGGGGCAGACCUCCGUUCGCCCGACCGGCUGCCCGGCGGUACUCGCAAGGUAUCUGGCCGCAGACAUACGAACUGCGUCCGGCCCGUCGCAAGCGCGGCAAGUGUCUCCCGGCUGUGCGGAUCUAAUGCCGUCACCGGGCCUUGCCAGCUGUUGGUCGACGGUGUCCUAGGACUGGCUAAUAGAUACCGGUCGGCGACGCUACUGCUUUGGGUACUUUCAGGACCCGUCUUGAAACACGGACCAAGGAGUCUAACAUGUGCGCGAGUCAUUGGGAGCUAUUAAGCCUAAAGGCGCAAUGAAAGUGAAGAUCGGCCUUGCGCCGAUCGAGGGAGGAUGGGCCGCGUCACGAUGCGGUCCCGCACUCCCGGGGCGUCUCGUUCUCAU
This 613-nucleotide ribosomal RNA is filed under the name Eupalamus giganteus sinensis. RNAcentral describes it as "eukaryotic LSU rRNA". It matches the Rfam family "Eukaryotic large subunit ribosomal RNA", at positions 417 to 780 of the family's 3401-position model. The record is from RNAcentral. Lineage: Eukaryota; Metazoa; Arthropoda; Insecta; Hymenoptera; Ichneumonidae.